This 447-nucleotide ribosomal RNA is filed under the name uncultured bacterium. RNAcentral describes it as "bacterial SSU rRNA". It matches the Rfam family "Bacterial small subunit ribosomal RNA", at positions 29 to 523 of the family's 1533-position model. The record is from RNAcentral.
AACGAACGCUGGCGGCAUGCCUAACACAUGCAAGUCGAACGAGACCUUCGGGUCUAGUGGCGCACGGGUGCGCAACGCGUGGGAAUCUGCCCUUGGGUUCGGAAUAACAGUUAGAAAUGACUGCUAAUACCGGAUAAUGUCUUCGGACCAAAGAUUUAUCGCCCAGGGAUGAGCCCGCGUAGGAUUAGCUAGUUGGUGAGGUAAAGGCUCACCAAGGCGACGAUCCUUAGCUGGUCUGAGAGGAUGAUCAGCCACACUGGGACUGAGACACGGCCCAGACUCCUACGGGAGGCAGCAGUGGGGAAUAUUGGACAAUGGGCGAAAGCCUGAUCCAGCAAUGCCGCGUGAGUGAUGAAGGCCUUAGGGUUGUAAAGCUCUUUACCCGGGAUGAUAAUGACAGUACCGGGAGAAUAAGCCCGGCUAACUCCGUGCCAGCAGCCGCGGUAU